Molecule: transfer RNA, 75 nt
Filed under: Candidatus Altimarinota bacterium
Lineage: Bacteria; Candidatus Altimarinota
Description: tRNA-Glu
Rfam family: tRNA
About the family: Transfer RNA (tRNA) molecules are approximately 80 nucleotides in length.
Source: RNAcentral
GUGGCUAUCGUCUAGGGGUUAGGACACCUGGUUUUCAUCCAGGCAACCGGAGUUCGAUUCUCCGUAGCCAUACCA